This 497-nucleotide ribosomal RNA is filed under the name uncultured bacterium. Its description in RNAcentral is "partial 16S ribosomal RNA". It matches the Rfam family "Bacterial small subunit ribosomal RNA", at positions 28 to 507 of the family's 1533-position model. The record is from RNAcentral.
GAUGAACGCUGGCGGCGUGCCUAAUACAUACAAGUCGAGCGAACAGAUGAGGAGCUUGCUCCUCUGACGUUAGCGGCGGACGGGUGAGUAACACGUGGAUAACCUACCUAUAAGACUGGGAUAACUUCGGGAAACCGGAGCUAAUACCGGAUAAUAUAUUGAACCGCAUGGUUCAAUAGUGAAAGACGGUUUUGCUGUCACUUAUAGAUGGAUCCGCGCCGCAUUAGCUAGUUGGUAAGGUAACGGCUUACCAAGGCAACGAUGCGUAGCCGACCUGAGAGGGUGAUCGGCCACACUGGAACUGAGACACGGUCCAGACUCCUACGGGAGGCAGCAGUAGGGAAUCUUCCGCAAUGGGCGAAAGCUUGACGGAGCAACGCCGCGUGAGUGAUGAAGGUCUUCGGAUCGUAAAACUCUGUUAUUAGGGAAGAACAAAUGUGUAAGUAACUAUGCACGUCUUGACGGUACCUAAUCAGAAAGCCACGGCUAACUACGUG